AGGCUCUAUAGUUCAGUGGUAGAACACCAGUCUCGUAAACUGGUAACUCGAGUUCGAUUCUCGAUGGAGCCUG
Molecule: transfer RNA, 73 nt
Filed under: Yasminevirus sp. GU-2018
Lineage: Varidnaviria; Bamfordvirae; Nucleocytoviricota; Megaviricetes; Imitervirales; Mimiviridae
Description: partial tRNA-Thr(cgt)
Rfam family: tRNA
About the family: Transfer RNA (tRNA) molecules are approximately 80 nucleotides in length. Their secondary structure includes four short double-helical elements and three loops (D, anti-codon, and T loops).
Source: RNAcentral